RNAcentral lists this ribosomal RNA (254 nucleotides) under uncultured bacterium. Its description in RNAcentral is "partial 16S ribosomal RNA". It matches the Rfam family "Bacterial small subunit ribosomal RNA", at positions 524 to 776 of the family's 1533-position model. The record is from RNAcentral.
UACGUAGGGCGCAAGCGUUGUCCGGAAUUAUUGGGCGUAAAGAGCUCGUAGGCGGUGUGUCACGUCGGCCGUGAAAACCUGCAGCUCAACUGCAGGCUUGCGGGCGAUACGGGCAUCACUGGAGUUCGGCAGGGGAGACUGGAAUUCCUGGUGUAGCGGUGAAAUGCGCAGAUAUCAGGAGGAACACCGGUGGCGAAGGCGGGUCUCUGGGCCGAUACUGACGCUGAGGAGCGAAAGCGUGGGGAGCGAACAGG